GUGGCAGUAGCUCAGUAGGUUAGAGCAUCGGAUUGUGGUUCCGAGGGUCGCCGGUUCGAGUCCGGUUUGCCACCCCA
RNAcentral lists this transfer RNA (77 nucleotides) under Puniceicoccales bacterium. RNAcentral's name for it is "tRNA-His". It matches the Rfam family "tRNA". From Rfam's summary of the family: Transfer RNA (tRNA) molecules are approximately 80 nucleotides in length. Their secondary structure includes four short double-helical elements and three loops (D, anti-codon, and T loops). Lineage: Bacteria; Pseudomonadati; Verrucomicrobiota; Opitutia; Puniceicoccales. The record is from RNAcentral.